GUGGGGAAUCUUGCGCAAUGGGCGAAAGCCUGACGCAGCGACGCCGCGUGAGUGAUGAAGGCCUUCGGGUUGUAAAGCUCUGUGGAGGGAGACGAAUAAGGGUUGGCCAACACCCAGCUCGAUGACGGUAUCCCUUUAGCAAGCACCGGCUAACUCUGUGCCAGCAGCCGCGGUAAGACAGAGGGUGCAAACGUUGUUCGGAAUUACUGGGCGUAAAGCGCGUGUAGGCUGCUUGGAAAGUCGGAUGUGAAAGCCCUGGGCUCAACCUAGGAAGUGCAUUCGAAACUUCCAAGCUGGAGUGCUGGAGAGGAAGGCGGAAUUCUCGGUGUAGAGGUGAAAUUCGUAGAUAUCGAGAGGAACACCGGUGGCGAAGGCGGCCUUCUGGACAGCUACUGACGCUGAGACGCGAAAGCGUGGGGAGCAAACAGGAUUAGAUACCCCGGUAGUCC
RNAcentral lists this ribosomal RNA (449 nucleotides) under uncultured bacterium. RNAcentral's name for it is "bacterial SSU rRNA". It matches the Rfam family "Bacterial small subunit ribosomal RNA", at positions 354 to 796 of the family's 1533-position model. The record is from RNAcentral.